Non-coding RNA from Equus caballus (horse), 1383 nucleotides. The record is from RefSeq and is a predicted model, not a curated record. Lineage: Eukaryota; Metazoa; Chordata; Mammalia; Perissodactyla; Equidae.
UGGUGGUUAUUCUUCCAGGUUAUUUUUCCUAUAUAUUUUUAUAGCAUUUAAAAAGCAGGAUGAGAAAUUCGCUGUAAAGGAGAAGGGAAAGGCUUGGCUUUAUUCCUAGAGCAGCCUGGUUCCGUUCCUUUUGGGGCAAUGAAGCCAGACCUGUAUUCAGGUAGAGUACCAUAUAACAGCGAUCUUUCACAAGUGUAGAGUGACUUCUCUACGCAAAGACUUACAGAGGCCAUUCCUCUCUCAGCCAUGGCAGCUUUCUCUCCUCCAUGCACUGAAAAACAUUGGACGUUUUACAACUUGUUCUAUUAGGCAAAUCUUAUACUUAACUAGUACAUUGUUUUUUUAAUUUUAGUUGAUUGAAUUACUUAUGAAUUAUCUAAGAAUUACAACCCAAUGUGACAACUGACUUCUUGUGGGAUGAGGAAACCGAUUUCCCGAGCAAUGAAGAGAUGUGUGGAUGAUUACACGGUUGAAUUUUUCACACAAGAGCAUAAAUAAGUCAUCUAACAGAUCAGAAUCUUUUCUACUUUUAAAGAGUCCCUGAAGAAAACGAUUAUACACAAAGUUCAGCCAUUUUUUUAAAAACUUUUAAUUGCGAUAAAAAGAGAUAUAAAUUUACUACCUUAAUCAUUCUUAAAUCUACAGUUCAGUAGUGUUAAGUAUAUUCACAUUCGUCCAUGCUUUCUUGCUUAAACCUAUUUCGAAAUCACCCUUUUAAGACUAAAAGCCAUACUAUUCUAUUAAAGGGCUCAGUUGUCAUUUUUGUACUCUUGGAGUGACAGGUCUAAGAUGUGAAACAAUAAAUAAUGGAUGAAGGCUGGUAAUUUUGUAACUGUUACCUCCAUACCAAAUCCUAUAAAAUACCAGUGUGAAAUUACACUUAAAAGGCCAAGAGUAACUGCUGUAGCAAUUGUAGCCAAAUCAUUGAAUAAGGUCAUCAUAUCCUUUAUUUUUUAUAUACUGCAAUGAGACGAAAGAGAAACAUUCUUUGCACAGGCCAUGUGAAUUAUUUUGUUUUGUGAUAAAACACAGUUUUUGCAUUUCUUUCUGGCAAAGGAAGAUUUAAUUUCCAUGUCUUUUAUAAAUUUUAACGUUAUUAUAAAACCAUCAUGAAGACAUUUUCCCUAACUUUUUUAUUAUAGAAGCCUAUGGAUACAAGGAAUACUUGGUUUUGAUUGGUUGUUAGCAUAUGGGGGUGGGCCUUAGGUAUAGCUGAUUUAAUUAUUGUCUCAAAUAUUCUUCACAAAGACAUACAUUGGGGCUGGACUCUAGACAAUCACACUGGGUGGGGUCUCUGGGGUUAGAAUGGAUUCUAAUCAAUCUUUUUCCAAUGUUCCUGAGAUACACUUUAAUUCAAACAAUAAACAUAUUUAUGAGCUCCUA